RNAcentral lists this ribosomal RNA (1109 nucleotides) under uncultured Oceanobacillus sp. RNAcentral describes it as "bacterial SSU rRNA". It matches the Rfam family "Bacterial small subunit ribosomal RNA", at positions 173 to 1270 of the family's 1533-position model. The record is from RNAcentral. Lineage: Bacteria; Bacillati; Bacillota; Bacilli; Caryophanales; Bacillaceae.
UAACACUUUUCAUCUCCUGAUGAGAAGUUGAAAGGCGGCUUUUGCUGUCACUUACAGAUGGGCCUGCGGCGCAUUAGCUAGUUGGUAAGGUAAUGGCUUACCAAGGCGACGAUGCGUAGCCGACCUGAGAGGGUGAUCGGCCACACUGGGACUGAGACACGGCCCAGACUCCUACGGGAGGCAGCAGUAGGGAAUCUUCCGCAAUGGACGAAAGUCUGACGGAGCAACGCCGCGUGAGUGAUGAAGGUUUUCGGAUCGUAAAACUCUGUUGUUAGGGAAGAACAAGUGCCAUAGUAACUGAUGGCACCUUGACGGUACCUAACCAGAAAGCCACGGCUAACUACGUGCCAGCAGCCGCGGUAAUACGUAGGUGGCAAGCGUUGUCCGGAAUUAUUGGGCGUAAAGCGCUCGCAGGCGGUUCUUUAAGUCUGAUGUGAAAUCUUACGGCUCAACCGUAAACGUGCAUUGGAAACUGGGGAACUUGAGUGCAGAAGAGGAGAGUGGAAUUCCACGUGUAGCGGUGAAAUGCGUAGAGAUGUGGAGGAACACCAGUGGCGAAGGCGACUCUCUGGUCUGUAACUGACGCUGAGGAGCGAAAGCGUGGGGAGCGAACAGGAUUAGAUACCCUGGUAGUCCACGCCGUAAACGAUGAGUGCUAGGUGUUAGGGGGUUUCCGCCCCUUAGUGCUGAAGUUAACGCAUUAAGCACUCCGCCUGGGGAGUACGGCCGCAAGGCUGAAACUCAAAAGAAUUGACGGGGGCCCGCACAAGCGGUGGAGCAUGUGGUUUAAUUCGAAGCAACGCGAAGAACCUUACCAGGUCUUGACAUCCUCUGAACACUCUAGAGAUAGAGUUUUCCCUUCGGGGACAGAGUGACAGGUGGUGCAUGGUUGUCGUCAGCUCGUGUCGUGAGAUGUUGGGUUAAGUCCCGCAACGAGCGCAACCCUUGAUCUUAGUUGCCAGCAUUCAGUUGGGCACUCUAAGGUGACUGCCGGUGACAAACCGGAGGAAGGUGGGGACGACGUCAAAUCAUCAUGCCCCUUAUGACCUGGGCUACACACGUGCUACAAUGGAUGGAACAAAGGGAAGCGAACCCGCGAGGUCAAGCAA